AUUGACAGAAGCGUCAAUUCCUGGGAGUAGUUCGUUGGUUUUCUUUCCCCUCAUCCUUUUGCCUGCUCCCGGCGAGGGGUGGCUUUGAUUUCGGCGAUGAGCUCCCAGAAAGGCAACGUGGCUCGUUCCAGACCUCAGAAGCACCAGAAUACGUUUAGCUUCAAAAAUGACAAGUUCGAUAAAAGUGUGCAGACCAAGAAAAUUAAUGCAAAACUUCAUGAUGGAGUAUGUCAGCGCUGUAAAGAAGUUCUUGAGUGGCGUGUAAAAUACAGCAAAUACAAACCAUUAUCAAAACCUAAAAAGUGUGUUAAAUGUUUACAAAAGACAGUGAAGGAUUCUUAUCACAUAAUGUGCAGGCCAUGUGCCUGUGAACUUGAAGUUUGCGCAAAAUGUGGAAAGAAAGAAGACAUUGUUAUUCCGAGUUGGAAGCUUUAGAAGGAGUUUCAACUCAGGAGUCACUGUCCCUUGAGUGAGACCCCACCUGUAUGGAGGAGCUGGUGAUUCUAUAUCUGCACUUAACAUUAUGGAGUCUCCCUCUGUUGCCCAGGCUGGAGUGCAGUGGCAGGAUCUUGGCUCACCACAACCUCCGCCUCCCUUGUUCAAGUGAUUCUCCUGCCUCAGCCUCUCGAGUAGCUGGGACUACAGGCGCACACCACCAUGCCCAGCUAAUCUUUGUAUUUUUAGUAGAGAUGGGGUUUCACUAUGUUGGCCAGGCCGGUCUCGAACUCCUGACCUCAUGAUCUGCCUGCCUCAACCUCCCAAAGUGCUGGAAUUACAGGUGUGAGCCAUCAUGCCUGGCCUAAUUUGUAUAUUUCUAAUGACUCAUGAUGUUGACUGAGCAUCUUUUCUUUUCUUUUCUUUUUUUUUUUCCUUGUUUUUUGAGAUGGAGUCUUGCUCUAUAGCCCGGGCUGGAGUGCAGUGGCACCAUUUCAGCUCAAUGCAACCUCUGCCUCCUAGGUUCAAGUGAUUCUCCUGCCUCAGCCUCCCGAGUAGCUGGGAUUACAGGCACACACCACCAUGCCCAGCUAAUUUUUGUAUUUUUAGUAGAAACAGGUUUUCACAAUGUUGGCCAGGAUGGUCUCCAUCUACUGACCUUGUGAUCCGCCCCCCUAGGCCUCCCAAAGUGCUGGGCUUACAGGCAUGAGCCACUGCACCCAGCCGACUGAACAUCUUUUCAUGUGUUUAUUAGCCAAUCCUAUAUCUUCACUGGUGAAAUGUCUAUUCAGAUGUGUUGCCCAUUUUAAAAAUUGGGUUGUUUUCUUACCAUUGAGUUAUGAGUCUUUUAUAUAUAUUCUAGAUACAAGUCCUUUAUCAGAUAUAAUUUGGAAAUAUUUUCUCGCUGUCUGUAAUGUGUUAUACAUCAAUUUUGAGAUAUCCUUCACAUUAAGAAACUAACGGUGUGGAUAAUAAUCCUGGUAUUGACAGAGGUUUGGACUCCUGAAGCCUGAAAGUCUAUCUGCUGCCACGCCUGGGCACAUACUGCAUCAUUUACAAAACUGUAGAGCACCUGUUGUGUGUGCAGUUGUGAUUUCUUAUAGAUUUUUAGAAUUGGAAGGCAUGUAAAGAACACGUAAUCUGGUACAUUGCUUCAGUAGGUAAGUCAGUAUGAACUUCUAAGAAUUUUUGUUUUCUUCUGUAUUGGGUCUAUUGUGGGUAUGUCCAACGUGACAGGGGAGGUAAGGGAAGUGGCAUCCCCUGAGAUAGUGACUGAAAUGGCUUUCAUCAUCUUUAAGUCAAAGUGAGAUGCCAGUAAUAGGAUAUAUGUAUGUAUGUACUUGUGUCUCUGUAUGUAUGUAAAUAAACAAACAUGCUGGAAGGAGGAGGUGAUUCAAUCAGGGACUUUGUGAAAGAAAAAAAGAAUAACUGGACCUUCCUUUAAUGAUGAAAACUGUUUAUACAGCAAACCAUCAAAGCCAAAAUGUGAAUUUUGGUAUUAGCCCGAUUUUUCCUAAGAAACUGUUGAUGUAACCACUGUAGUUGCAGAGAUCGUUUUGGUAUAUUCUAGACCCUCUUUGUUUUGUUCUGUUUGGGGUUUCUUCCCCCUCAAGUUGCUCUUGUCCACCACUAGACUGGCUGCCUUUUAUUCCAUAGCAGACAGUCCUUAAGUCUUUGCAUAUGUCCUUAUUCAAAAAUUAAUCUUCAUCAGUUUUUUUCUGCAGAAAACAGUUUUUUAAAUAUCUUACAUGAGAAUGCUCUGCACCUGCAAUCUCUGGUUGAUGCAGUUUCCUUUCUCUCUUCUCUGUUCCCAUUGGUAGAAUAAAUCUGCUCCUUCUUAAAUCCUGAGCUGAAAAUGUCCACACUUCCCAGAAGUGUACUUUAGAAUCACCUGUAACAUGUAUUUAAAAUACAGAUUCCCCAGCUCCACGGGCAAAGCUCUCCUGCCAUGUGACACCCUGAUACAGUUCAGGGAGCCACUAAGGCAGGCCAAAAUGGCUCAGCAGGCAAAGGUCCAAGCUGCCAGGGUAGUGUGUCAUUACAGCAUGCUUAGCAUAGCUAGGAGGACAGGCUCACACCCAGCCCCACAGCUGUUGCGCUACAGACUCAGGCACAGGGCUGUCUAACUGGCAGAUGUGGGCCACAACUGUUGGAGACAAGCCAGCCAUAUUUGGGAAAAUCUUAUUGUAAGGGGCAAGUGUGAGUGAGAUUUAGGAGUCAUGGGAAAAUACACCAACACAGUAAAUCUUGUGUUAUAGGAGAGAUGUGGAAGAAAGAGAUAAACUACUGGCCAGGGUGUCUCCUGACUGGGUGACUUGCCACCACAUGGGCCAGGCAGGUUGCGGCAGCUCUGCCUUUGGGAGGUGGCUGGAGGAGGGGAGGAGAGAGAGGCAUGAUGAAGACAGAUGCACCCUUUCCUGAGCAGGGGUUAACAUUCAGGGUGCCGAAAGGAAUUCCACAGCCUGUUUCCCAUCUCUCUUGUCCUCAUCAAGUACUGGUCCUCGUGUAUGUGUUCUGCUUCCGCUUUCUCAGGAUGUUUACGUUUUUGCAAAUACGUUUAUGGAAAAGAGUUACCUCACCCACCUCUCCAAACAUCUAUUUGUUUUACAUUUUUAUUGCGGGGGAGUGAUCUCUUUACAUAGCUUCAAAUGGCAUAACAUUCAGCAGUAUCCAAGCUUAGAUAUAUCUGAUGAGAGGAAAGUAAUUGUGAGGCCUUUGUUCUAGUUACAACUUUGUCACUAUCUGACUCCAUGACUCCAGCAAAUUGCUUCAACUGUCUGGCCUGCAGUUUUUUUCUUGCGUUAAAUAACAGACUUAGUCUAGAUCGGUGGUUCUUAUCAUGUGGUUUCUGGACUAGCAGCAUCAAUAUUACCUGGGAAACUUGUUAGAAAUGCAAAUUCUUGGGCUCUGCCCUAGACCUACUGAAACAUACUCUGUGGGCGGGGCCCAGCAAUCUGUGUUUGAAACGCGAUUCUGAUUAUUUGACAAAAGUUUGCAAACCACUGGUCUAGAUAAGUAGCUCUUAGCCUUGGCUGCACAUUAAAAUCAUCUGGGCAACUUUUAUAACCUACCAAUCCUGGCCUCUUCCUCCAAAGAUUCUGACUUAAAUGGUUUCAGAUGGGGACCAUUGUUAUGCGGUUAUAGCCGACGCCUAGGUGCUACCUGAGGUCUUCAAAGCUAAAGGUCAGUGUUUCCCAGCCGUAAAUGCAUACCUCUAGACCUGGCCUUCUCAAGCCACUAGGUGUUGCUAUAAUAGAGAAGAAAAGGCAUUUUCAGAACCGUCUUUGGAUAUGGAUGAGGAGGAGGAAAAUGUAUUUCUUAGCUUCUGAUAAGAGAUUAUUUUGUUAUUUUAAUCUGAGUGCAAUUUGCUAAAUAUUCAUUUGCAACUUGUUAAAUUUAUUCAAAGAAAUUAAAUGCCCAUAAGUGACAGAAAGAAUAAAGAAUUGUGAUAUAUAUUUACAAUAAAAUACUCUUUAGCAAUAAAAAGAAA
Homo sapiens (human) is the source of this 3925-nucleotide RNA transcript. It is a transcript of the gene named chromosome 9 open reading frame 85, with no coding region annotated. The transcript is spliced from 5 exons. Lineage: Eukaryota; Metazoa; Chordata; Mammalia; Primates; Hominidae. The record is from RefSeq and is marked validated.